Raphanus sativus (radish) is the source of this 857-nucleotide long non-coding RNA. RefSeq lists it as uncharacterized. The record is from RefSeq and is a predicted model, not a curated record. The transcript has 2 exons. NCBI's taxonomy places the organism in Eukaryota, Viridiplantae, Streptophyta, Magnoliopsida, Brassicales, Brassicaceae.
UUUAAAAUUUAUGAUCUAAAGUUUGGUUAAAAAUUUUGUUAUUAUUUUUUAGCUAUUUUAGUAUUUUAAAAGUUUAUUAUUUAUUUAUUCAUUCAUUUAUGUAUCAUUAAUCUAUAUAUGGUAACUUAAUUAAAAUAAGGAAAUAGGUGAAUUCUUAAGUUCACCCAGGGUGAACCUAAGUAUUGUUCUUUCCUAAUGGGUUCUAUUUGAUGCAGGUUUUUCUAUCAAAGCGAAACUAGGAUUCGGAGUUGUUUUUUGGGGAUCAGUGGUCAGCUUAUUUAUGCUAGGAAUCUUCUACGUCAUGUGCUGUACAAAGAAGACAUCAGAUGAUCUAAGACAACACGGUCUGAAGGCCCUUAUUCCACUGAAACAGUAUAGCUACGCGCAAGUAAAGAUAAUUACAAAGUCAUUCGCUGAAAGGGUUGGGAUAGGCGAUUUUGGAACGGUUUACAAAGGAACCCUUCCUGAUGGUCGUAAUGUUGCCGUGAAGAUCCUGAAAGACUCAAAGGGAAAUGGGGAAGACUUCAUCAAUGAAGUUGCAAGCAUGAGCAAAACUUCUCAUGUCAACAUUGUAGACCUACUUGGAUUCUGCGCUGAAGGUUCAAAGAGAGCAAUUCUGAUGCAGCGCAUCCACACCGGUUUAGUCUCUCGGUUGUAUUCUAAACCGAGUUCGUGUAAUCAGUAUCUUGUUAGGAUUCUAACUUAUCAUUUUGUAUUUAGUUGUUUUAAGUAUAGGACUAGAUAAGUCAUCUAUACGUCAUUAUAGGAUGUCGUUAGUUUCAGUAUAUAAAGGAGUCAUCUCCUAUUGUAAAGAUUACGUUAAUAUUGAAUCAUAAAUCAGAACUUUGAAGUUCUUA